UACGUAGGGGGCUAGCGUUGUCCGGAUUUAUUGGGCGUAAAGAGCGUGUAGGCGGCCAGAUAGGUCUGCUGUGAAAACUCGAGGCUCAACCUCGAGAUGUCGGCGGAAACCAUUUGGCUAGAGUCCGGAAGAGGAAAGUGGAAUUCCUGGUGUAGCGGUGAAAUGCGCAGAUAUCAGGAGGAACACCGGUGGCGAAGGCGGUUCUCUGGGCCUUACCUGACGCUGAGGAGCGAAAGCGUGGGGAGCGAACAGG
RNAcentral lists this ribosomal RNA (253 nucleotides) under uncultured bacterium. Its description in RNAcentral is "partial 16S ribosomal RNA". It matches the Rfam family "Bacterial small subunit ribosomal RNA", at positions 524 to 776 of the family's 1533-position model. The record is from RNAcentral.